AUACUUACCUGUCAGGGGAGAUACCAUGAUCACGAAGCUGGUUUCCCAGGGCGAGGCUUGUCCAUUUUGCUCUGGAUGUGCUGACCCUUGCGAUUUCCCCAAAUGUGGGAAACUCGACUGCAUGAUUUGUGGUAGUGGGGGACUCCAUUCACGCUUUCCCCUG
Molecule: small nuclear RNA, 163 nt
Organism: Callithrix jacchus (white-tufted-ear marmoset)
Lineage: Eukaryota; Metazoa; Chordata; Mammalia; Primates; Cebidae
Gene: U1
Rfam family: U1 spliceosomal RNA
About the family: U1 is a small nuclear RNA (snRNA) component of the spliceosome (involved in pre-mRNA splicing). Its 5' end forms complementary base pairs with the 5' splice junction, thus defining the 5' donor site of an intron. There are significant differences in sequence and secondary structure between metazoan and yeast U1 snRNAs, the latter being much longer (568 nucleotides as compared to 164 nucleotides in human).
Source: Ensembl